AGUGAACGCUGGCGGUAGGCCUAACACAUGCAAGUCGAACGGCAGCACAGUAAGAGCUUGCUCUUACGGGUGGCGAGUGGCGGACGGGUGAGGAAUACAUCGGAAUCUACUUUUUCGUGGGGGAUAACGUAGGGAAACUUACGCUAAUACCGCAUACGACCUACGGGUGAAAGCAGGGGAUCUUCGGACCUUGCGCGAUUGAAUGAGCCGAUGUCGGAUUAGCUAGUUGGCGGGGUAAAGGCCCACCAAGGCGACGAUCCGUAGCUGGUCUGAGAGGAUGAUCAGCCACACUGGAACUGAGACACGGUCCAGACUCCUACGGGAGGAAGCAGUGGGGAAUAUUGGACAAUGGGCGCAAGCCUGAUCCAGCCAUACCGCGUGGGUGAAGAAGGCCUUCGGGUUGUAAAGCCCUUUUGUUGGGAAAGAAAAGCAGCAGGUUAAUACCCAGCUGUUCUGACGGUACCCAAAGAAUAAGCACCGGCUAACUUCGUG
RNAcentral lists this ribosomal RNA (492 nucleotides) under uncultured bacterium. Its description in RNAcentral is "partial 16S ribosomal RNA". It matches the Rfam family "Bacterial small subunit ribosomal RNA", at positions 29 to 507 of the family's 1533-position model. The record is from RNAcentral.